UUUCGAACAGGUCUGGCCGAAAGUAAAGGUCAUGUUCGACAUUUGCUUAGUGCUCUGCCCCUUCUCAAAAGUGCUGCUCUUACUUUUCGUUUUUCUCUGAUCUGCAUUCUUCUGGUUCACCAAGGGUAUGGCCUAUUCUGAUGUUCUGAUUUCUCUACUUUGAAACUAGGAAUUCUCUGUCUAAAAGUCCUCCUUUCAAGCAUCCAACUGCCGUACGGGUCCUUGGCUGACAUGCCAGGUAUGGAAAACAGAGGUUUCUUUUCUGCUGUUUCAGUCUCCUUCUCCGUCUCCGACGACCCCUGCUCAGGACGUGUCGGACUUCCUUCUCCCGGUGAAGAUGAUUUUGGUAAAUCAUUCAGCGAACAACUAUCCUGUCGAUGUCCAAAUUUCCCACAUUUAAAGCAAGUACUGUCCAAGCCUUCAUAUUCAACUGUAAGACCUUUUUUUGGAUUACAAAUCUGGAUUGGAGGGUCUUGUUCAAGUCCACUUCAAAACUGACACGUGCAAAUUUACCACACUCCACAACAUUAUUCUUGUUUUGAUUUUGGGCUAACGUAUUCAAGUCGACCUUUGGAGCCUUUCCAAUUCGGUUACCCAACUCAAACAUGAACUCUUCAGAGUACCAAUGGAUUGGCAAUGGCCGGACCUUAACCCAUACAACACGCUUCCUUGACCCAAAUUAGGAGUCCACCUUUGAACAACCAAGUAGUGAUCUUGAAUCAUCCAAGGGCCAUCAAAGAGCAUUCUCCUACAGAGAUCUUUCUCGUCAAACCUGAAUACAAAGUAAUUGUUUUCAAGAUCAAUCAGUUCCCAGUUCUGGUUUUUGAGCAUCCAAGAUAAUCUAUCUUUCAUCUUAUUAAGGUUCACUGGCAUUCCCACGAUUGUAAGAAUGAGAGCAUAUCCUUCCACGGUAAACACAGUUGCCUUAACCUAUCAUCAGGAAAAUUGAUUUUAAGAAGAGAAUCAACGAUCUUCUUUUGUUCUUCAGUGAGGAUAGGGGCUGUAUCUUCCUCCUCUUGUUCAUAUUUUUGUGCUUCCCUGCCCGCGAGUUUAUUCCUCUAUUCAAGGGACUAUUAUAGGUCUGGUUCUUGACUUCAAGAACAACAUUAUCAGGUUCUUUCAUAGUCUCAUCCCCUCUGUUAGUCUGUCCUCCAUCAGUAGUGUCCCUUGUACAGUGAUCCUUGGGAUUUCAUGGUUGACAGCUUCGUUCAUAAUCUCAUAUUUACCUCCUCCUCGGUGCUCGUCUGUGACUUCAUUUGUCUCCAUUCUCUUGAUAUUCCUGGCAAUGAUAUCUUCAUCCUCUUUCGACAUCCCUCUUGCUUCAUCUCCGGCUGAUUUCUCAGUCGAAACCGUUUGACUCGAGUUCACACCCUUUCUGUCACUCAUCUCUCUGUACUUACAAUGAUACCAAAUUUUAAAUGGACUACAAGCCUAUUUACGUAUUUUAAUAUUUUAAUAAAAUUUAACUCUAUCAA
This is a long non-coding RNA of Prosopis cineraria, 1475 nucleotides long. RefSeq lists it as uncharacterized. The record is from RefSeq and is a predicted model, not a curated record. The transcript has 2 exons. Lineage: Eukaryota; Viridiplantae; Streptophyta; Magnoliopsida; Fabales; Fabaceae.